CCUACGGGAGGCAGCAGUGGGGAAUAUUGGGCAAUGGGCGCAAGCCUGACCCAGCAACGCCGCGUGAAGGAAGAAGGCUUUCGGGUUGUAAACUUCUUUUCUCAGGGACGAAGAAAGUGCCGGUACCUGAGGAAUAAGCCACGGCUAACUACGUGCCAUCAGCCGCGGGAAUACGUAGGUGGCAAGCGGUAUCCGGAUUUACUGGGUGGAAAGGGCGUGUAGGCGGGAAAGCAAGUCAGAUGUGAAAACCAUGGGCUCAACCUGUGGCCUGCAUUUGAAACUGUUUUUCUUGAGUACUGGAGAGGCGGACGGAAUUCCUAGUGUAGCGGUGAAAUGCGUAGAUAUUAGGAGGAACACCAGUGGCGAAGGCGGUCUGCUGGACAGCAACUGACGCUGAGGCGCGAAAGCCAGGGGAGCGAAAGGGAUUAGAUACCCGGGUAGUC
RNAcentral lists this ribosomal RNA (443 nucleotides) under uncultured bacterium. Its description in RNAcentral is "partial 16S ribosomal RNA". It matches the Rfam family "Bacterial small subunit ribosomal RNA", at positions 338 to 795 of the family's 1533-position model. The record is from RNAcentral.